UAAUAGUGUAUAUUAAAGUUGUUGCAGUUAAAAAGCUCGUAGUUGAAUGUUGGUGUCGAACGAGCGGUCAGCUUCGGCUGUACUGCUCUCUCGACUCCUUCCUUCUGUGGACUACGUCGCACUUUACUGUGUGGCGCUAGGACGCAGAUCGUUUACUGUGAAAAAAUUAGAGUGUUCAAAGCAGGCCGUACGCUUGAAUACAUUAGCACGGAAUAAUGGAAUAGGACGUCGGGCCUAUUUUGUUGGUUCUAGGACCGUCGUAAUGAUUAAUAGGGACAGUUGGGGCCGUUUAUAUUCCGUAGUCAGAGGUGAAAUUCUUGGAUUUACGGAAGAUAAACUACUGCGAAAGCAUUCGGCAAGGAUGUUUNCGUUAA
This 374-nucleotide ribosomal RNA is filed under the name uncultured eukaryote. RNAcentral's name for it is "partial 18S ribosomal RNA". It matches the Rfam family "Eukaryotic small subunit ribosomal RNA", at positions 592 to 976 of the family's 1831-position model. The record is from RNAcentral.